Molecule: ribosomal RNA, 480 nt
Filed under: uncultured bacterium
Lineage: Bacteria
Description: bacterial SSU rRNA
Rfam family: Bacterial small subunit ribosomal RNA
Source: RNAcentral
GAACGCUGGCGGCAUGCCUUACACAUGCAAGUCGAACGGCAGCACGGGAGCAAUCCUGGUGGCGAGUGGCGAACGGGUGAGUAAUAUAUCGGAACGUGCCCAGUCGUGGGGGAUAACGUAGCGAAAGCUACGCUAAUACCGCAUACGAUCUAUGGAUGAAAGCGGGGAUCGCAAGACCUCGCGCGAUUGGAGCGGCCGAUAUCAGAUUAGGUAGUUGGUGAGGUAAAGGCUCACCAAGCCGACGAUCUGUAGCUGGUCUGAGAGGACGACCAGCCACACUGGGACUGAGACACGGCCCAGACUCCUACGGGAGGCAGCAGUGGGGAAUUUUGGACAAUGGGCGCAAGCCUGAUCCAGCAAUGCCGCGUGCAGGAUGAAGGCCUUCGGGUUGUAAACUGCUUUUGUACGGAACGAAACGGUGAGCUCUAAUACAGUUUGCUAAUGACGGUACCGUAAGAAUAAGCACCGGCUAACUCCGUG